UAUAAGACUGGGAUAACUUCGGGAAACCGGAGCUAAUACCGGAUAAUAUUUUGAACCGCAUGGUUCAAAAGUGAAAGACGGUCUUGCUGUCACUUAUAGAUGGAUCCGCGCUGCAUUAGCUAGUUGGUAAGGUAACGGCUUACCAAGGCAACGAUGCAUAGCCGACCUGAGAGGGUGAUCGGCCACACUGGAACUGAGACACGGUCCAGACUCCUACGGGAGGCAGCAGUAGGGAAUCUUCCGCAAUGGGCGAAAGCCUGACGGAGCAACGCCGCGUGAGUGAUGAAGGUCUUCGGAUCGUAAAACUCUGUUAUUAGGGAAGAACAUAUGUGUAAGUAACUGUGCACAUCUUGACGGUACCUAAUCAGAAAGCCACGGCUAACUACGUGCCAGCAGCCGCGGUAAUACGUAGGUGGCAAGCGUUAUCCGGAAUUAUUGGGCGUAAAGCGCGCGUAGGCGGUUUUUUAAGUCUGAUGUGAAAGCCCACGGCUCAACCGUGGAGGGUCAUUGGAAACUGGAAAACUUGAGUGCAGAAGAGGAAAGUGGAAUUCCAUGUGUAGCGGUGAAAUGCGCAGAGAUAUGGAGGAACACCAGUGGCGAAGGCGACUUUCUGGUCUGUAACUGACGCUGAUGUGCGAAAGCGUGGGGAUCAAACAGGAUUAGAUACCCUGGUAGUCCACGCCGUAAACGAUGAGUGCUAAGUGUUAGGGGGUUUCCGCCCC
Molecule: ribosomal RNA, 722 nt
Filed under: Staphylococcus aureus
Lineage: Bacteria; Bacillati; Bacillota; Bacilli; Caryophanales; Staphylococcaceae
Description: bacterial SSU rRNA
Rfam family: Bacterial small subunit ribosomal RNA
Source: RNAcentral